RNAcentral lists this ribosomal RNA (499 nucleotides) under uncultured bacterium. RNAcentral's name for it is "bacterial SSU rRNA". It matches the Rfam family "Bacterial small subunit ribosomal RNA", at positions 25 to 518 of the family's 1533-position model. The record is from RNAcentral.
CAGGAUGAACGCUAGCGGCAGGCUUAACACAUGCAAGUCGAGGGGCAUCGGGAGUAGCAAUACUUGCCGGCGACCGGCGCAAGGGUGCGUAACGCGUGAGCAACAUGCCCGUAUCAGGGGGAUAAUCCAUGGAAACGUGGUCUAAUACCCCAUGGUAAUUAUGUAAGGCAUCUUAUAUAAUUUAAAGCUUUGGUGGAUACGGAUUGGCUCGCGUGACAUUAGCUGGAUGGUAAGGUAACGGCUUACCAUGGCUACGAUGUCUAGGGGUUCUGAGAGGAAGGUCCCCCCACACUGGAACUGAGACACGGUCCAGACUCCUACGGGAGGCAGCAGUGAGGAAUAUUGGACAAUGGAUGGAAUCUGAUCCAGCCAUGCCGCGUGCAGGAAAGACGGCCCUAUGGGUUGUAAACUGCUUUUGUAUGGGAGCAAUAAGGGCUACGUGUAGUCCGAUGAGAGUACCAUACGAAUAAGCACCGGCUAACUCCGUGCCAGCAGCUGC